GUGACCAGCGGAGGGAUCAUUACCGAGUUUACAACUCCCAAACCCAAUGUGAACGUUACCAAACUGUUGCCUCGGCGGGAUCUCUGCCCCGGGUGCGUCGCAGCCCCGGACCAAGGCGCCCGCCGGAGGACCAACCAAAACUCUUAUUGUAUACCCCCUCGCGGGUUUUUUUUAUAAUCUGAGCCUUCUCGGCGCCUCUCGUAGGCGUUUCGAAAAUGAAUCAAAACUUUCAACAACGGAUCUCUUGGUUCUGGCAUCGAUGAAGAACGCAGCGAAAUGCGAUAAGUAAUGUGAAUUGCAGAAUUCAGUGAAUCAUCGAAUCUUUGAACGCACAUUGCGCCCGCCAGUAUUCUGGCGGGCAUGCCUGUCCGAGCGUCAUUUCAACCCUCGAACCCCUCCGGGGGGUCGGCGUUGGGGAUCGGCCCUGCCUUGGCGGUGGCCGUCUCCGAAAUACAGUGGCGGUCUCGCCGCAGCCUCUCCUGCGCAGUAGUUUGCACACUCGCAUCGGGAGCGCGGCGCGUCCACAGCCGUUAAACACCCAACUUCUGAAUGUUGACCUCGGAUCAGGUAGGAAUACCCGCUGAACUUAAGCAUAUCAAUAAGCGGAGGA
This 610-nucleotide ribosomal RNA is filed under the name Trichoderma harzianum. RNAcentral describes it as "eukaryotic LSU rRNA". The stretch from base 225 to 378 matches the Rfam family "5.8S ribosomal RNA". Lineage: Eukaryota; Fungi; Ascomycota; Sordariomycetes; Hypocreales; Hypocreaceae. The record is from RNAcentral.